UGGGUUAAGGGUCCGUAGGCGGCCUUAUAAGUCAGAGGUGAAAUCUCCUAGCUCAACUAGGAAACUGCCAUUGAUACUGUAGGGCUUGAAUUAUUAGGAAGUAACUAGAAUAUGUAGUGUAGCGGUGAAAUGCUUAGAUAUUACAUGGAAUACCAAUUGCGAAGGCAGGUUACUACUAAURNAUUGACGCUGAUGGACGAAAGCGUGGGUAGCGAACAGGAUUAGAUACCCUGGUAGUCCACGCCGUAAACGAUGGAUACUAGCUGUUCGGAGCAAUCUGAGUGGCUAAGCGAAAGUGAUAAGUAUCCCACCUGGGGAGUACGAWCGCAAGAHUGAAACUCAAAGGAAUUGACGGAG
Molecule: ribosomal RNA, 357 nt
Filed under: uncultured bacterium
Lineage: Bacteria
Description: bacterial SSU rRNA
Rfam family: Bacterial small subunit ribosomal RNA
Source: RNAcentral